RNAcentral lists this ribosomal RNA (447 nucleotides) under uncultured bacterium. RNAcentral's name for it is "bacterial SSU rRNA". It matches the Rfam family "Bacterial small subunit ribosomal RNA", at positions 355 to 825 of the family's 1533-position model. The record is from RNAcentral.
UGAGGAAUAUUGCACAAUGGAGGAAACUCUGAUGCAGCAACGCCGCGUGGAGGAUGACGCAUUUCGGUGUGUAAACUCCUUUUAUUAGGGAAGAUAAUGACGGUACCUAAUGAAUAAGCACCGGCUAACUCCGUGCCAGCAGCCGCGGUAAUACGGAGGGUGCAAGCGUUACUCGGAAUCACUGGGCGUAAAGGGUGCGUAGGCUGGCUUCUAAGUCAGAUGUGAAAUCCAAUGGCUUAACCAUUGAACUGCAUUUGAAACUGGGAGCCUAGAGUUCAGAAGGGGCAGAUGGAAUUAGUGGUGUAGGGGUAAAAUCCGUAGAUAUCACUAGGAAUAUCAAAAGCGAAGGCGAUCUGCUGGGAUGAUACUGACGCUGAGGCACGAAAGCGUGGGGAGCAAACAGGAUUAGAUACCCACGUAGUCCCUGAGCGGGCUGGCAAGGCGCAU